Physcomitrium patens is the source of this 809-nucleotide long non-coding RNA. RefSeq lists it as uncharacterized. The record is from RefSeq and is a predicted model, not a curated record. NCBI's taxonomy places the organism in Eukaryota, Viridiplantae, Streptophyta, Bryopsida, Funariales, Funariaceae.
AUACUGUGUUGGGUCUGCACACAUUAUCGGUAGCCACCUCCGUUGCAUAUGCGCAGUCGGCGGGUUGAAUGUCCAGUGGGAGCAAGGACACAAGACUAGAGGUUAUUCAGUUAAUUCUUCUUCCCUUUCCGCCGUGAGAGUCACUCAUACCUCUUUUUCGCCCCUACAGUUGCGGGAAACAUUUUGGAGAUCUGCCCGAUCCCUUCGGAGUGGAUGGACACGAUAUCCCGAAAUUCAUUCCCCCCGAUCGCCCAUUCUUGGGUGGAUUCGUCUCAGCACCAAGAUCUAAAGGUGAAAAAAGGGUAAUGAAUCAGCGGACGGCGCCUGCGCUUCGGUGGGGUUAAAAAUCUUCUGUGGAUUGAGGCGAUCUCACUGUCUCUGCCGGGAGAUCUCUGUUCUGCAGUGAACUUGCCGGUCCGCAAGGUUAGAUUCUGCUGAGAGGUGCAAUAUGUGUGUACAUAUGCUCGCAGUGGGUUUCCUGACAUCACCAUCAGAUCUUUGCAAAUUGGUUUUAAAUCGUAUGACGUUACGUGGCUGAGGUGGAGGUUGGAGGUCCAUCCAACCGGGUGAGUCCUUUGCCUGCUUCCCACCGCGUUCAAUGAGAUCUUGAGACGUGUGAAGAUUAGCAUUCGCAAGGGGGCUGUACUGCAUACAUCAUACGGCACUUCCUGGUCAUGGAAUUAGCAAAUCUACCAGGUGUUCUUCACGACGUUGCAGAAGAUUCACUUGUUCUCUACAUAAAUGUGUUCCCCCUUAUACUUGUCGAUUCUGCUUUAUAAUAAAUUAAGAAAUCAUAUUUUAUACUGAUA